This is a long non-coding RNA of Canis lupus familiaris (dog), 2796 nucleotides long. RefSeq lists it as uncharacterized. The transcript is spliced from 3 exons. NCBI's taxonomy places the organism in Eukaryota, Metazoa, Chordata, Mammalia, Carnivora, Canidae. The record is from RefSeq and is a predicted model, not a curated record.
AGUAAAUGUAUGUGUGAUUUAUGCUGUUUCAAAUGUGUUAUCUCCUGGGAAAUACUUGCCCGUGUGUGUAUACAUAUUUAUCUGUAUUUGAAAAUGAAACAAAUUCCUCAUUCCUACACAACACAAAAUGCAAUACCUUAAAGCGUUUCAAUAUAUCGUUUGUUUAAUGAAUGACUGGAAUAAUCAAAGAAACCUCCAGACUCCUCUACCUUUUUAAAAAGUAACCUCCAAUAGGCCUCCCAGUCCCGAUCUUGGUUAAGCACAUCAGAAUCUUCGUCCACUGUUCCCUGCUCAUCGUACAGCGCUCUCUGCUCUUUGUCGCUCAAAACAGAAUAGACUUUCCCGAGGAUCUGCGAGGAAAGAGCAUCCAAAAGUCACCCUUGCAUCCUUCACUGCAACCGCGCUGCGAGAAAUAAAGAUUAGAAAACACCAGGCCAGGAGAUCGAGAGAAAUCCAGGCAGCCAGCGGAGCCGGGGCUCGCGUACCUGGAAGCGGCGGGUGGCGUCCUCUUUGUCGUCGUCGCCGACCCGGUCCGGGUGCACCUGCAGGGACACUUUGUGGUAGCCCCGUCGGACCUCACCGUCCGAGGCCUCGCGCCGCACGCCCAACACUCGGUACAGGUCGGCGGUGCCAAACACUUCCUCGCACAGCUCCAGCAACCCCAUGGCCGGCAGCCAGGGAGGGCGCCGCAACCUCCGCGACACUGGGUACAGCUUCAGACUGCCUCCUUUUCCCGCGCAAAAAAAAACCCGGGAGUGACUGCGUCACAAGAGGCGCCGGAAGGGCGUGGCCACGACGUCGCACUUUACGGCAGCUGCAAGUGGGGGCGUGGCCAGAACUUAACCGAAGGUCGGAGCGGCGGGCGGGACCUCGCGUGUUGGGUAGCGGAGCGGGAGUCGGGGCCGCUGCACCCUCCUCCCCUUAAGAAAUCUGGCGAUUAUCUUCUCCCCGGUGUCCCAGUGCAGCAGCUCAUUCAAUAGAUGGCAUGUCCAUAUUACGUCUGAACCAUACAUUGCCUUUUGCCUUUUUUUAAGUAAAAAAGUUCAUAACACCGACAUUUGAAGACCUGACAUGGUUCAAUGUUGUUCUUUUUCAAUGAUCCUGACAAGAGUACACAAACUCUAAGACCUACAGGUUGGGACUGCUGGAUCCAAGAUCAAAUCCAAGUAGUCAGCUGUUCUUGCCCUGCCUUUGAAGUCCCCUCAAUGCAAGGGAGGCCAACCAGUGACAACCUUGGGAGAGACUUGACUCAUUAUGAGAGAAGAGGCAGAGACACAGGCAGAGGGAGAAGCAGGCUCCAUGCCAGGAGCCCGAGGCGGGACUCGAUCCCGGGACUCCAGGAUCACACCCCAGGCCAAAGGCAGGCGCUGAACCACUGAGCCACCCAGGGAUCCCCAAUUGUGGCCAAUUAAAUGUAAACUAAAGUAAUUGCUUCUUUUUUUUUUUUUUUUUUUUUUUCAAAAGUAGAUUCUUCUCUCUGGAAAUUAUUUUCUUUACAUGUGAAUUAAACAUCCUUUUUUAUAUGAGUAUAGUUGACACACCAUGUUUCAGGUACACAACAUACGAUUCUGAAGUCUAUACAUUAUGCUACGUUCACAAGUAUAGCUACCGUCUGUCACCACACAACACUAUUACAAUACAUUACAAUACCAUUGACCAUAUUCCCUGUACUAUAUCUUUUAUUCCUGUAAAGUCAUUGCUUCUUAAAGGGAGGUGAAAUAGCUAGUAGCAUAUCCUCUUUGUUCUUGCCUCCCUUUUGUUCUUUAUUGUGCUUGAAACAUGUAUAUGGUGGCUUAAGCUACAAUGGCUGUCUUGCAACUAUGAAGGAUGGGGACAGCAUGCUAUGACUGGUGGAGCAGAAAGCUAUAGAGUUUGGGUCUCCUGGUGACAUUGUGGAGCUCUGGUACCAGCCCUGGGCUUUUCAGUAGAUGAGAAAAAUAAAAUUCCUAAUUUGUUUAAGCCACUUGUAAACUGUGAUUCAUAAUAGAAUAGAUGUUCCGCCGGGGAUUGGCAGAUUACUACUUAUGAGCCAAAUCUAGCUUGCUGUUUUUGUUAAGUAAACUUUUGUUUGAAAUACAGUCAUGCUCAUUUGUUUAUGUGUUGUCUGUGGUUCCCUUUGGACUACAAGGACAGAGGGUAGUAGAUGCAAUAGAGACAGUUUAGCCCACAAAGCCUAAAAUAUUAUUUUUCCCUUUAUACAAAGUUUGCUGACCAGUACCUUCAGUCUACACAUGAUGAAAAUGAGGCUGAAAGAAGAUAGAGUAAAGUUAGUGGCAAAACUAGGACCAUAAUUCAGGCUUACUGACUCCCUUGCUAUUUAUCUUUCCAUUAAACCAAAUUCUCUAAAGAGGUAGAAAAAAGAUCCCCCAUAUUAAUAUGUGGGUUAUUGCAAACCCACCAGCUGUAUGAUAAUGGCAAAGAUGAGAAGAAAAGCCUCUGGAAAAUAUUCACAUCCUGAAAUGCUGUAAAGUCCUGAACUAAGCAGCAUCUUCUUCCUAGUUUUCCAACCUUAGUACAGUACAAACUUCAGGGGCAUCUGUAUCAUACCUUCAUUGUGUACUUAUAGGCCUGCUCAGCUUCCAGUUGCCGUCCAGCCUGAAAAAAAGAACAGCAGCUCAUGAUUUAUUAUAAACACUAUGGUGGGAAAGGACGUUGCCACAAACAUUUCUACCAAAACAGGAUUCCAUACCUUCUUAAUAAUCUUUUCCAUUAUAUAUAUAUUCAUUUCAAAAAGUUUAAAGAGGGGCAACUAGGUGGCUCAGUCAGUUGAGUGUCUGACUCAAGCUUAGAUCUUGA